AUUGAACGCUGGCGGCAUGCCUUACACAUGCAAGUCGAACGGCAGCACGGGUGCUUGCACCUGGUGGCGAGUGGCGAACGGGUGAGUAAUACAUCGGAACGUACCUUAUCGUGGGGGAUAACGCAGCAAAAGUUGCGCUAAUACCGCAUACGCCCUGAGGGGGAAAGCGGGGGACCGUAAGGCCUCGCGCGAUUAGAGCGGCCGAUGUCUGAUUAGCUUGUUGGUGAGGUAAAAGCUCACCAAGGCGAUGAUCAGUAGCUGGUCUGAGAGGACGAUCAGCCACACUGGGACUGAGACACGGCCCAGACUCCUACGGGAGGCAGCAGUGGGGAAUUUUGGACAAUGGGGGCAACCCUGAUCCAGCAAUGCCGCGUGAGUGAAGAAGGCCUUCGGGUUGUAAAGCUCUUUUGUCAGGGAAGAAACAGCAGCUCUAACACAGUCUGCGAAUGACGGUACCUGAAGAAUAAGCACCGGCAAACUAUGUGCCAGCCGCCGCAGUAA
Molecule: ribosomal RNA, 501 nt
Filed under: uncultured bacterium
Lineage: Bacteria
Description: partial 16S ribosomal RNA
Rfam family: Bacterial small subunit ribosomal RNA
Source: RNAcentral